Molecule: long non-coding RNA, 1013 nt
Filed under: Homo sapiens (human)
Lineage: Eukaryota; Metazoa; Chordata; Mammalia; Primates; Hominidae
Description: novel transcript
Source: RNAcentral
AGAGAAUGGGGAGCACACCCAAGCCUGAGACAACAGCUCUGCUAAGUGCCCUUGAGAGGGCACGGUGGGGUCAGCACCAAAGCCAGACCACUAAAGAGAAAAAGAGAGAAAGACAGGAUUGCAGAGGAGAAAUGAGAAUGGCAGAAAAAAUAAUUUUUUAAGCCAAAAGGAAUCAGAGAAGAGCAGAAGUGCCUCUAGGAUAAAGCGUAGCAGGCAGUUAGGGAAAAAGGGCUGUUAAUUACCUUGAAGCUCUGACUACAUUAGAAAGCCUCGCAAGACAGUCGUUGCUUGCACGGGCAGGGGUGGUUGGCAAUAAGGAUGGGUGGGAGAGAAAAAAAAACAGAAUUUGAGGAGGAGAGCAUUUAAACCCUCAGACUGUGUGUUCUGUGACAUCAAAGACUGGCAACAUUCUAAAGGAAAAGCAGCUGUGAAGUCAUAAUUAUGUUCACUUCCCACUGGCAACUGGCAAGCCCUUUAUUUUUGUGCAUUCGGAACUCACCAAGAAUAAAUAAAGUCCAUUCCCUCCUUGAGGGGCUAUUCUGCCAUUCCAUCUAGGAUUUAAAAGUUUGCCAAUUCCUAAAACAUCUAUUGUUAUCAAUAGUCUUGUGUCUUUCACAAAGCGGACUUUACAAAAUAAGGAAGCUUCUGCUCAGAAAAUGUGAAAGAAAUAAUCUAUCUCAAGACCUUGCUGUUCUUGACUGUUCAAAAAUUCUUUAAAUAAAAUAUAAUAUGGAAGCUGUGCUCUGCAUGUCGAGACCAUUUCACUGUUGAGCCUUCACAGCCAGAAAACAGGCUCAAAAUAAUUAGACUUGAACAAAAUCACAUUAUUUACUUUUUGCUUUAAUAAGGAGGUGAUUAUUAGAAGAUGAACCAUGACUACCAAGAUAGCAGAUGCCAUGUCCAGCCAAAUAAAUGAGACUGAACUUCAUGGUUGUUGUUUUUACUUCAUCCCGGCAAAAGAAAUGAAAUUAAAUAUAAAAAGCAGAUGACCAAAUAAAGUCCAAAUGAAUUAA